RNAcentral lists this long non-coding RNA (715 nucleotides) under Calidris pygmaea (Spoon-billed sandpiper). RNAcentral's name for it is "lncRNA (ENSCPGG00000003758.1)". The record is from RNAcentral. Lineage: Eukaryota; Metazoa; Chordata; Aves; Charadriiformes; Scolopacidae.
GUCCCUUACUAUUUUCGGCAGCUUGCUUUUGAAAUCAGCAACCCUACUGAUAAAAUGAUCCAAUCAGUCCUUCCCAGUUGUCAAGACAACAGUUCAUAAUUGUACCAGCUCUUUUCAUUGCAGCUAGACAUUUCAUAAAUAGAUAAUUCUCUAAUUGAUCCAGCCAAUCCUACUUUGCAUACCCUGCCAAACUAGUUCUACUGGUGGAUGUAUGACAUGUAGAGCUGUCCACAGAGGUAUUCCUGUUGAGGAAGAAGAUGGAGGGGGGCUGGAGCCUGGGAAGGCAAACUAUGACAACAACAGCCACCAAGCGAAGGAAAGAGAAAUAGUGAUGGUAAGGAAUGAAAGAGCAAAGAGGGUGUUCUUCUAAAGGGUGCCACUCAUUAAAGGAAAAGAAAACCCCUCCAAACUUCUUUAAUUAUAUUUGUAAGGGCAAAAGUAACACAUAGCACAAAUGCUUCUGUCAUGAGAACAUUUUCAGUUCAAGACAAAAUAAGAGCAGUUCCUCAGCACUAGUACUGGUGCUAACUACAAGUGCAAUAGCAAAAGCUACAGUAGGUGGAACAUUUAUGUCUGGGUUCUUUUACCUUUCGUGAGCAGGCUUUCUUUUACUUCUACUUAUAGCAGUGUACAUUGAUUGUUCUUUGACGAACAUGUUAUAGUAAUAGCCCACUGAAACUUGUAUUAUUGCUGUCCUCUUGUUUUUGAAGGGAAA